This 526-nucleotide ribosomal RNA is filed under the name Lelliottia amnigena. RNAcentral describes it as "bacterial SSU rRNA". It matches the Rfam family "Bacterial small subunit ribosomal RNA", at positions 1 to 522 of the family's 1533-position model. The record is from RNAcentral. Lineage: Bacteria; Pseudomonadati; Pseudomonadota; Gammaproteobacteria; Enterobacterales; Enterobacteriaceae.
UGGAGAGUUUGAUCCUGGCUCAGAUUGAACGCUGGCGGCAGGCCUAACACAUGCAAGUCGAGCGGUAGCACAGAGAGCUUGCUCUCGGGUGACGAGCGGCGGACGGGUGAGUAAUGUCUGGGAAACUGCCUGAUGGAGGGGGAUAACUACUGGAAACGGUAGCUAAUACCGCAUAACGUCGCAAGACCAAAGAGGGGGACCUUCGGGCCUCUUGCCAUCAGAUGUGCCCAGAUGGGAUUAGCUAGUAGGUGGGGUAAUGGCUCACCUAGGCGACGAUCCCUAGCUGGUCUGAGAGGAUGACCAGCCACACUGGAACUGAGACACGGUCCAGACUCCUACGGGAGGCAGCAGUGGGGAAUAUUGCACAAUGGGCGCAAGCCUGAUGCAGCCAUGCCGCGUGUAUGAAGAAGGCCUUCGGGUUGUAAAGUACUUUCAGCGAGGAGGAAGGCAUUGUGGUUAAUAACCACAGUGAUUGACGUUACUCGCAGAAGAAGCACCGGCUAACUCCGUGCCAGCAGCCGCGGUA